This 908-nucleotide ribosomal RNA is filed under the name Soehngenia sp. enrichment culture clone L35B_140. RNAcentral describes it as "bacterial SSU rRNA". It matches the Rfam family "Bacterial small subunit ribosomal RNA", at positions 8 to 916 of the family's 1533-position model. Lineage: Bacteria; Bacillati; Bacillota; Tissierellia; Tissierellales; Tissierellaceae. The record is from RNAcentral.
AGAGUUUGAUCAUGGCUCAGGACGAACGCUGGCGGCGUGCCUAACACAUGCAAGUCGAGCGAAGUGACUCGGAGAGAAGUUUUCGGAUGGAUCAAAGAGUCAUCUUAGCGGCGGACGGGUGAGUAACGCGUGAGAAACCUGCCUUUCACAAAGGGAUAGCCUCGGGAAACCGGGAUUAAUACCUUAUGAAACUGAAUUACCGCAUGGUAGAUCAGUCAAAGCGAAUAAGCGGUGAAAGAUGGUCUCGCGUCCUAUUAGCUAGUUGGUGAGGUAACGGCUCACCAAGGCUUCGAUAGGUAGCCGGCCUGAGAGGGUGAACGGCCACACUGAAACUGAGACACGGUCCAGACUCCUACGGGAGGCAGCAGUGGGGAAUAUUGCACAAUGGAGGAAACUCUGAUGCAGCGACGCCGCGUGAAUGAUGAAGGCCUUCGGGUUGUAAAGUUCUGUCCUUGGGGAAGAUAAUGACGGUACCCAAGGAGGAAGCCCCGGCUAACUACGUGCCAGCAGCCGCGGUAAUACGUAGGGGGCGAGCGUUGUCCGGAAUUAUUGGGCGUAAAGGGUUCGCAGGCGGUCUGAUAAGUCAGAUGUGAAAGGCGUAGGCUCAACCUACGUAAGCAUUUGAAACUGUCAGACUUGAGUUAAGGAGAGGAAAGUGGAAUUCCUAGUGUAGCGGUGAAAUGCGUAGAUAUUAGGAGGAAUACCAGUGGCGAAGGCGACUUUCUGGACUUAUACUGACGCUGAGGAACGAAAGCGUGGGGAGCAAACAGGAUUAGAUACCCUGGUAGUCCACGCCGUAAACGAUGAGUGCUAGGUGUUGGGGGUCAAACCUCGGUGCCGCAGCUAACGCAUUAAGCACUCCGCCUGGGGAGUACGUACGCAAGUAUGAAACUCAAAUGAAUUGACGG